GAUGAACGCUGGCGGCGUGCCUAAUACAUGCAAGUCGAACGCUGAAGGAGGAGCUUGCUCUUCUGGAUGAGUUGCGAACGGGUGAGUAACGCGUAGGUAACCUGCCUGGUAGCGGGGGAUAACUAUUGGAAACGAUAGCUAAUACCGCAUGACAACAGUUAUUGCAUGAUAACUGUUUAAAAGGGGCAACUGCUCCACUACCAGAUGGACCUGCGUUGUAUUAGCUAGUUGGUGAGGUAACGGCUCACCAAGGCGACGAUACAUAGCCGACCUGAGAGGGUGAUCGGCCACACUGGGACUGAGACACGGCCCAGACUCCUACGGGAGGCAGCAGUAGGGAAUCUUCGGCAAUGGACGGAAGUCUGGCCGAGCAACGCCGCGUGAGUGAAGAAGGUUUUCGGAUCGUAAAGCUCUGUUGUAAGAGAAGAACGAGUGUGAGAGUGGAAAGUUCACACUGUGACGGUAUCUUACCAGAAAGGGACGGCUAACUACGUG
RNAcentral lists this ribosomal RNA (495 nucleotides) under uncultured bacterium. Its description in RNAcentral is "partial 16S ribosomal RNA". It matches the Rfam family "Bacterial small subunit ribosomal RNA", at positions 28 to 507 of the family's 1533-position model. The record is from RNAcentral.